GACGAACGCUGGCGGCGUGCUUAACACAUGCAAGUCGAACGGAAAGGCCCUGCUUUUGUGGGGUGCUCGAGUGGCGAGCGGGUGAGUAACACGUGAGUAACCUGCCCUUGACUUUGGGAUAACUUCAGGAAACUGGGGCUAAUACCGGAUAGGAGCUCCUGCUGCAUGGUGGGGGUUGGAAAGUUUCGGCGGUUGGGGAUGGACUCGCGGCUUAUCAGCUUGUUGGUGGGGUAGUGGCUUACCAAGGCUUUGACGGGUAGCCGGCCUGAGAGGGUGACCGGCCACAUUGGGACUGAAAUACGGCCCAGACUCCUACGGGAGGCAGCAGUGGGGAAUAUUGCACAAUGGGCGGAAGCCUGAUGCAGCAACGCCGCGUGCGGGAUGACGGCCUUCGGGUUGUAAACCGCUUUCGCCUGUGACGAAGCGUGAGUGACGGUAAUGGGUAAAGAAGCACCGGCUAACUACGUG
RNAcentral lists this ribosomal RNA (468 nucleotides) under uncultured bacterium. RNAcentral's name for it is "partial 16S ribosomal RNA". It matches the Rfam family "Bacterial small subunit ribosomal RNA", at positions 28 to 507 of the family's 1533-position model. The record is from RNAcentral.